This 237-nucleotide unclassified non-coding RNA is filed under the name Hevea brasiliensis (rubber tree). Lineage: Eukaryota; Viridiplantae; Streptophyta; Magnoliopsida; Malpighiales; Euphorbiaceae. The record is from RNAcentral.
GGCGGUGCAUGUCCUGAUUAUUUACGUUGUCGGCAUGGCGACGGGCGGCAGCGCGUGGGCGCUGAUGCGCUGGGCCGUGCGCAAGCCGUAGCUCGCAUUUCCGCAAUCCGCGCGAGAGCAGGCUACAUGUGACGGCGGAUGAACGCGCCCGCAUUGGCGAGCGCGCGGCGGCCGGGUUCGAGAUGUGCGUUCCAUAGCGGCCAGGCGUGGAUCAUCUCCGGCCAGAUUUCCAGCGUG